GGUUCGCCAGAUCGGGUGUCGUAAGAGGGAACCCGGUGGGAAGCCGGGACUGCCCCGCAGCGGUGAGUGGGCGACGGUGCGUGCCCGCGAGUCCGAAUACCUGCC
RNAcentral lists this non-coding RNA (105 nucleotides) under Actinoplanes derwentensis. The record is from RNAcentral. Lineage: Bacteria; Bacillati; Actinomycetota; Actinomycetes; Micromonosporales; Micromonosporaceae.